RNAcentral lists this ribosomal RNA (253 nucleotides) under uncultured bacterium. RNAcentral describes it as "partial 16S ribosomal RNA". It matches the Rfam family "Bacterial small subunit ribosomal RNA", at positions 524 to 776 of the family's 1533-position model. The record is from RNAcentral.
UACGUAGGGUGCAAGCGUUAUCCGGAAUUAUUGGGCGUAAAGGGCUCGUAGGCGGUUUGUCGCGUCGGGAGUGAAAACACCGGGCUUAACUCGGUGCUGGCUUUCGAUACGGGCAGACUAGAGGUAUUCAGGGGAGAACGGAAUUCCUGGUGUAGCGGUGAAAUGCGCAGAUAUCAGGAGGAACACCGGUGGCGAAGGCGGUUCUCUGGGAAUGUCCUGACGCUGAGGAGCGAAAGUGUGGGGAGCGAACAGG